GGGGGCGACAUGGUUUCGACGGGGGUGUUGAAACACAGGCUGCGUGCCGAGGUUGACCGGUUGGCCUCGUUAAAAGCCGGUCACAACACAAUUGCCAACGAACCAUUGGCACUUGCCGCCUAACAAAGGCGACACGUCUUACCCGUGACGGUCCGCUAGCGGGAUAAGGCGCCGACAGCGGGCCUCGAACCGCGGGGGCGGCGCAGCCCCCGGAGAGAGUACGCCCUGCGCCUAGCGAAGCCGGAAAGCUGGUCUGACGCGGUCCGGCCGGGCGAAUCCUAAAAGAAAGACUACGCACGUAGACGCCUGCGCGGACGCACCUUCGGACGCGGGUUCGAUUCCCGCCGCCUCCACCA
RNAcentral lists this transfer-messenger RNA (356 nucleotides) under Candidatus Hydrogenedentota bacterium. It matches the Rfam family "transfer-messenger RNA". Rfam says of the family: Bacterial tmRNA, also known as 10Sa RNA or SsrA, is named for its dual tRNA and mRNA-like properties. Its role is to liberate the mRNA from a stalled ribosome. To accomplish this part of the tmRNA is used as a reading frame that ends in a translation stop signal. The record is from RNAcentral. RNAcentral also lists the same sequence under 1 other name. Lineage: Bacteria; Pseudomonadati; Candidatus Hydrogenedentota.